RNAcentral lists this ribosomal RNA (197 nucleotides) under uncultured bacterium. RNAcentral describes it as "partial 16S ribosomal RNA". It matches the Rfam family "Bacterial small subunit ribosomal RNA", at positions 335 to 524 of the family's 1533-position model. The record is from RNAcentral.
ACUCCUACGGGAGGCAGCAGUAGGGAAUCUUCCACAAUGGACGAAAGUCUGAUGGAGCAACGCCGCGUGAGUGAAGAAGGUUUUCGGAUCGUAAAACUCUGUUGUAAGGGAAGAACACGUACGAGAGUAACUGCUUGUACCUUGACGGUACCUUAUUAGAAAGCCACGGCUAACUACGUGCCAGCAGCCGCGGUAAU